CCAUGGCCGACUGUUAGAUGAAGAUCAGCGUAAUGAGCUUAUCGGAUUUUCAGAGAGGUGGUGCAUGGCCGUCGUCAGUUCGUACUGUAAAGCGUUCUGUUAAGUCAGAUAACGAACGAGACCCUCAUCUCUAUUUGCUACCCUUCUCUCCGGAGGAGGCGCACCAUAGAGAGACCGCUGGUGCUAAACCAGAGGAAGGCGAGGGCAACGACAGGUCAGUAUGCCCCGAAUGUCAUGGGCUACACGCGCGCUACAAAGGACGGGACAAUGGGAAGCCAGAUCGAGAGAUCGAGCUAACCCGAAACCCGUUCAUAGUUCGGAUUGUGGGCUGUAACUCGCCCACAUGAAGCUGGAUUGCGUAGUAAUCGUGUUUCAACAUAGCACGGUGAAUAUGCCCCUGCUCCUUGCACACACCGCCCGUCAAACCAUC
RNAcentral lists this ribosomal RNA (430 nucleotides) under uncultured archaeon. RNAcentral's name for it is "bacterial SSU rRNA". It matches the Rfam family "Archaeal small subunit ribosomal RNA", at positions 930 to 1362 of the family's 1478-position model. The record is from RNAcentral.